Molecule: ribosomal RNA, 253 nt
Filed under: uncultured bacterium
Lineage: Bacteria
Description: partial 16S ribosomal RNA
Rfam family: Bacterial small subunit ribosomal RNA
Source: RNAcentral
GACAGAGGUGCCGAGCGUUAGGCGGAAUCACUGGGCUUAAAGCGUGUGUAGGCGGACUUGUAAGUACCUUGUGAAAUCCCACAGCUCAACUGUGGAACUGCUUGGUAUACUGCUUGUCUUGAGCCACUUAGGGGCAGUCGGAACAAACGGUGGAGCGGUGAAAUGCGUAGAUAUCUGGAGGAACACCGGUGGCGAAGGCGGCAUCCUGGACCAUUACUGACACUGAAAAGCGAAAGCCAGGGGAGCAAACGGG